CUGUAGAUCAGAUUCCCAAAACAAAACCGAUCAGCACUUUUAGCAAAUGUGUUCUACCAAAUGAGAAGAAGGCACAAAAAGAAUUUGAGGCCAGUUCAAAUCCAGGAAGAAGUUACAGCAUGGAAAGACUGAAAAAACUUGGAGUUGGAACUGUUGAUGGUCUUUUUUUUCAUGGACAUGUGGACAUGCAGGAUGCAUAACAGCGAGGGGAUUCUGUCCCCGGAUGAGAAAACAGCCGUCCUCAAAUCCCCUUCAUUCUCAAUCGAUGGCUAGUACCGGCACUAAGCAGAGCGGCGAAGUAAAGGCAGCAGAGCAGCAGCCGACCAACUUCCUGUGCCGAUGCGUUUUGAGCCCGCAACCCGGAAGUGCUAUGAUCCUCCAAUGGGACACCCUUUACCACGGGAAGGUGAAACAAAAUCACCCAGCCGAGUUCCCACUCUUGGGGGUUCUUGACGAACUUCCCCAAAAGACGGCCAGACGUCUGCCACAAACAUGAGCUGCAGCCCCUGUUCAAGCCCACAACACUGCUGCUUUUAAACGGCAUUUAAACGGUUUCUGAAUGGUGAACACCUGAUGGAUAAAUUGGUGCCCAAACCCCAAUUUUGUCUCAAUUUGGUCUUGUCCUAUCACACAUAGUUUUCUAGAACAGGACUGAAUAAUCACUCAUUGCAUCACACCAAGAGGGAAAACAAGAUAUGGAAGAAAAACUGUUCAGUUUCCCUUAACAUUCCCACACUUCCUUAACAUAAUUUUGAAAACAAUAUGUGUAAUCUAAGAGCAGAUGUACAUUCUCAGUUACACACACACACACACACACACACACACACACAUGAAGUGAAAGCUCCUAUGCCAAACCCCAGUGGUGUAGAUAUAGUAUUUCAAAGUGGUUGCAGAUUUAGGAAGGAACGUCAAUCUAAUAAUAAUCAAUUUCUACACAUUUCCACUCUCUGCCUCUUAAGCUGUCAGGAAGUUCCAUUCGCAUCACAGCAGGAGGGGUAACUAAAGAAUAAAAACUGAAACUCCACCAUUAAUCACUGAGCCACAUAUUUCUUCAAGGCAUUUGAUACUGUCAGUGAAUGUUGCCUUAGCACAGCACCUUCAAAUACAAUGAUUCAAUACAGGCAUCAGGGUCGAUAUACUGUAAGGACUGCCGCUGCCCUGACAACAGGGGAUCAUACAGCUACUACAAUGCUCCAUGUUCUUCCAUGGUCUUCACCCACAACCAAACAUCAAAGCCACAAAGCACAGAAGCCUUUCAGAAAGGUGAAAAAAAGAUCUGUGGAUCUCUAUCUCCAUCUCCCCUGCCUGUGCACAAAGAACUAGAUUUGUCCAGUCAUUCUUUUCUAUUAUCCUCUCCUCUUGGCACACAAGUAAACACCCAAUGACAACAACUUGACCCAAUCAAUUCUGUCUAAGGCUGUGGCAUCCUUCAGGCAUGUCGGCUAUCUGAGUGUGUGUGUGUGUGUGUGUGUGUGAGUGAGAGAGAAAAAGACAAAGCCAAUUAUAAAGCACACCCAAGUGAGCAACGAAAGUUCCA
Alosa alosa (allis shad) is the source of this 1537-nucleotide long non-coding RNA. RefSeq lists it as uncharacterized. The transcript is spliced from 3 exons. NCBI's taxonomy places the organism in Eukaryota, Metazoa, Chordata, Actinopteri, Clupeiformes, Clupeidae. The record is from RefSeq and is a predicted model, not a curated record.